UCUCCAUGGGAACACUGUCUUGCUAAUAACACAUAAACACUUAUUCUAUAACAUAGAAUUAGGAAGUAAACAAGUAGAUCUGUUCUAUUAAAAUGGUACUGUUCAAAAAUCCAACCCCCAUUGGAAGUGGCUAACAAAAGCUACCAUGCAGUUUCAUCCUACAGCAAAUGACUUCAGUAUUAGUUGCAGCUGCUCAGCUUUUCAGUGUGUCUUUCUCGGCCUGAUGUGUCCUUUAAGAGGUAGUGACACAUAUUGCUGCACGUGUUCAGUUGCUCUACCUUUGUGCUGCAGUUCUUUACCCUGUAAAAUGUUUUCGGUACACAAAAGCAGCUGCUGAAGAAACCGCUUCAGACCGAGGGUGAGAUAAGAAUAAGAAACUCCAGUAGAGACUGAGGGAGUGAGACAGUGCAGAGACACCAAAGGAGCUUCUGUGAGAAACAAAAAUACCAGCAUUAUUGCCUGUCAUCAGAACCCCAGGUACCUUGUGUAAUAAAGAAGAAAGGAACAGGAAAGCAAGGAGAUGCAGGACAGCCUAGUGACGGACACGUUUGGGGAGGGAGGAAGAAAAGUCUCGAGCCUUCUGGAGACAUAAAUAUAUACAGGAAUAUCUACAGUCCUGAGGCAUGAAGCACUAGUAAUUCGCAAGACUAUACUGG
Molecule: long non-coding RNA, 656 nt
Organism: Numida meleagris (helmeted guineafowl)
Lineage: Eukaryota; Metazoa; Chordata; Aves; Galliformes; Numididae
Exons: 3
Source: RefSeq, a predicted model, not a curated record